UGCUCUCCGCCUCGUUUGUGUUUCCUGGGCUUCCGUAGUCUAUUCCAGCCCUCGUAGCUCCUCCCCUUUUCCCUCAGAGCGUUGUUCCGCGCUGCUGUGGAGCCGGAGUGCAGGGAGAAGGAGUUGAGGAGGUUGUUCAUUUGUUUUUCCUUCUUCCCCCAGAAUAAAAAAAUAAAAUAUCUGGUUGAGACCCA
Molecule: long non-coding RNA, 194 nt
Organism: Xiphophorus hellerii (green swordtail)
Lineage: Eukaryota; Metazoa; Chordata; Actinopteri; Cyprinodontiformes; Poeciliidae
Exons: 2
Source: RefSeq, a predicted model, not a curated record